AUUGAACGCUGGCGGCAUGCCUUACACAUGCAAGUCGAACGGUAACGGGCCUUCGGGUGCCGACGAGUGGCGAACGGGUGAGUAAUACAUCGGAACGUGCCCGAUCGUGGGGGAUAACGAGGCGAAAGCUUUGCUAAUACCGCAUACGAUCUACGGAUGAAAGCAGGGGACCGCAAGGCCUUGCGCGGACGGAGCGGCCGAUGGCAGAUUAGGUAGUUGGUGGGAUAAAAGCUUACCAAGCCGACGAUCUGUAGCUGGUCUGAGAGGAUGAUCAGCCACACUGGGACUGAGACACGGCCCAGACUCCUACGGGAGGCAGCAGUGGGGAAUUUUGGACAAAGGGCGCAAGCCUGAUCCAGUCAUGCCGCGUGCAGGAUGAAGGCCUUCGGGUUGUAAACUGCUUUUGUACGGAACGAAAAGCCUUCUUUUAAUACAGGAGGGUCAUGACGGUACCGUAAGAAUAAGCACCGGCUAACUACGUG
Molecule: ribosomal RNA, 482 nt
Filed under: uncultured bacterium
Lineage: Bacteria
Description: partial 16S ribosomal RNA
Rfam family: Bacterial small subunit ribosomal RNA
Source: RNAcentral